This 522-nucleotide ribosomal RNA is filed under the name uncultured Planctomycetota bacterium. RNAcentral describes it as "bacterial SSU rRNA". It matches the Rfam family "Bacterial small subunit ribosomal RNA", at positions 117 to 643 of the family's 1533-position model. The record is from RNAcentral. Lineage: Bacteria; Pseudomonadati; Planctomycetota.
GACGGUAACCAACCCCAUGACUGGGUAUAGCCGCGGGAAACUGCGGGUAAUCCCCAGCGACGUCCGUGGGAGGCAUCUCCCGUGGACCAAAGCUCCGGCGUCGUGGGACGGGCCGUCGUGGUAUUAGGUCGUUGGCGGGGUAACGGCCCACCAAGCCUGUGAUGCCUACCGGGCGUGCGAGCGUGGCCCGGCACACUGGGACUGAGACACUGCCCAGACUCCUACGGGAGGCUGCAGUCGAGAAUCUUCGGCAAUGGGCGCAAGCCUGACCGAGCGACGCCGCGUGGAGGAUGAAGGCCUUCGGGUUGUAAACUCCUGUCGAGGGGAAAGAAGGGGGCGCAAGCCCUUUGACUGAUCCCUGGAGGAAGCACGGGCUAAGUUCGUGCCAGCAGCCGCGGUAAGACGAACCGUGCGAACGUUAUUCGGAAUCACUGGGCUUAAAGCGCGUGUAGGCGGGACGGCACGUCGGUCGUUGAAAUCCCCCGGCUCAACCGGGGAAGGGGCGCCGAUACGACCGUCCUG